CCCUUAGAUGUCCGGGGCCGCACGCGCGCUACAAUGGAUGAAUCAACGCGUCAUCCUGGCCCGAAAGGGUUGGGGAACCGCUGAACCUCAUCCGUGGUUGGGAUUGGGGUUUGUAAUUAUUCCCCAUGAACUAGGAAUUCCCAGUAAGCGCGAGUCAUAAGCUCGCGUUGAUUACGUCCCUGCCCUUUGUACACACCGCCCGUCGCUCCUACCGAUUGGGUGAUCCGGUGAAUGAUUCGGACCGGCGUAGUGCUAGCUACUAGUGCUGUACUGGAAAGUUUUGUGAACCUUAUCACCUGGAGGAAGGAGAAGUCGUAACA
RNAcentral lists this ribosomal RNA (320 nucleotides) under uncultured eukaryote. RNAcentral describes it as "partial 18S ribosomal RNA". It matches the Rfam family "Eukaryotic small subunit ribosomal RNA", at positions 1470 to 1796 of the family's 1831-position model. The record is from RNAcentral.